UGUAACUAUAUUACACACUCAUCAAACACUCUCAGAUUCGCAUUUCUUCCUUCCCUGACACCAACCUUCAUCCACCAUCAACGUACAUUUUCUUCUCUCGCCCCCUCACGUUCAAAGGGCUAAGCGUCAAUCCCAAGAGCUUUCCCGCCCCGCUUAAAGCGUCGAUGACGGAGACCAACAGCGUUGCCGUCGAGGUCUUCGAAAAAGAGGAUAUUGCCGACUCUCUGGCCAAAUACGUCGCCGAUCUCUCCAAUAAAUUCACUUUGGAAAGGAGGACUUUCACAUUUUGCUUGUCUGGUGGCUCUUUGAUCAAGUAUUAUCUUUUAUAUAAAAAUGUUCUCACUUUGAGCCUAAGCGUGAUUUGAUUGAAUUGGAUUGGAUUAAUGUGAAUGUGUUUUGUCUUGGGUUCUCACGAAACUGCUGGAACCGCUCUAUGUUGAUUCUCUUGAAUGGUCCAAAUGGCAAGUGUUUUGGAUGGAUGAUAGUUACUACUAUCUUGCUUUGGAUGGACUUCUCUCCAAGAUAUAUUGCACUGCGGCAACAUGUGUUGUUGAGGAGUAGAGGGGAACAUUUAAGGAACCACCAGCCUGGGUGACGGGUGUAGAAGGAGAAGAGAGAUUGUGGCUGAGCCUAGAAGUGAAGAAAAGGCAAAAUAAAGACAUUAGAGCUAUGUAGAGGUAGAAUUUGCUUUCAAAGAAGAUUGUAUUGCUGCUAAAGGAAACCAUCCAUGGCAAUCAAAGAAAUAGCGCGAACUGGUUGGAGGGAAAAGCACAAACUGCAGCUACCAAUUCCUCUGGGCAAAAUGUGUAUGCAAUCAAUGAUACCCGUUCAGCUGAGAGAGUCAGAUGAUUAUGAGACACGUCUCAGACAAUUGGUCAAUAACAGUGUGAUUACUUCAUCACCGACGAGUGAAUUUUCAAAAAUUUGAUCUUGUGCUGCUGGGCAUGGGCCCUCCACGUAGCUUCUUUGUUCUCAGGGCAUCCUCUUGUGCAGGAGAAUACAAGAUGGGUUGCCUUCAUCAAGGACUCCCCCAAACCACCCCGAGAGAGAAUAACUUUCACCUUUCCAGUGAUUAAUGCCUCUGUUUACGUAGCCCUUUUGGUCUCGGCUAUGGUAAAGCAGAUGCAUUUCACUCUGUAUUAGGCAAAUAUCCAAAUUCUGUAAAGCUUCCUGCUGCAUUGGUUUUCCC
Molecule: non-coding RNA, 1189 nt
Organism: Vigna umbellata (rice bean)
Lineage: Eukaryota; Viridiplantae; Streptophyta; Magnoliopsida; Fabales; Fabaceae
Source: RefSeq, a predicted model, not a curated record